CAUAGCCAGUUUGGGUUUGCUCGGUCGAUCCAUAACCGGUCUCCUUACGACCAUAACCGGAUUCGGUUUGCUGAUCAUCAGAUCCGUACUUGUUGGUGCCAUCAUAUCCAGUUUCGGUCUGCUCAGUUGACCCAUAACUGGUUUCUUUGCGGCCGUAACCGGACUCAGUUUGCUGAUCAUCAGAUCCAUACUUGUUGGUGCUACCAUAGCCAGUUUCGGUCUGCUCAGUUGACUCAUAAUCAGUCUCCUUACGGCCGUAACCGGACUCUGUUUUGACAUCAUCAGAUCCGUACUUGUUGGUGGAACCAUACUCGGUUUCGGUCUGG
This 326-nucleotide long non-coding RNA is filed under the name Linum usitatissimum (flax). RNAcentral's name for it is "long non-coding RNA (LUSI_LNC005488)". Lineage: Eukaryota; Viridiplantae; Streptophyta; Magnoliopsida; Malpighiales; Linaceae. The record is from RNAcentral.